AUUGAACGCUGGCGGCAGGCCUAACACAUGCCAGUCGAGCGGAUGAAGGGAGCUUGCUCCUGGAUUCAGCGGCGGACGGGUGAGUAAUGCCUAGGAAUCUGCCUGGUAGUUGGGGAUAACGUCCGGAAACGGGCGCUAAUACCGCAUCCGUCCUGAGGGAGAAAGUGGGGGAUCUUCGGACCUCACGCUAUCAGAUGAGCCUAGGUCGGAUUAGCUAGUUGGUGGGGUAAAGGCCUACCAAGGCGACGAUCCGUAACUGGUCUGAGAGGAUGAUCAGUCACACUGGAACUGAGACACGGUCCAGACUCCUACGGGAGGCAGCAGUGGGGAAUAUUGGACAAUGGGCGAAAGCCUGAUCCAGCCAUGCCGCGUGUGUGAAGAAGGUCUUCGGAUUGUAAAGCACUUUAAGUUGGGAGGAAGGGCAGUAAGUUAAUACCUGGCUGUUUUGACGGUACCAACAGAAUAAGCACCGGCUAACUUCGUG
RNAcentral lists this ribosomal RNA (484 nucleotides) under uncultured bacterium. Its description in RNAcentral is "partial 16S ribosomal RNA". It matches the Rfam family "Bacterial small subunit ribosomal RNA", at positions 30 to 507 of the family's 1533-position model. The record is from RNAcentral.